UCACAAGAUCAAAAAGGUUUAUUGUUGAAUUUAGUAAAUUGUGUACAUUUCUUUAUUCAAAUCUAGGCCCGCAUAGUUUCGCGUUGUUUCUUGAAAUUUUUUAUGAAGAUUACAUAAAAUACUUCCAGUAACAACAAUUGUCAGUUGCAAGCAAUUUAGACUUGCCCACAUUUCCAUGCUUGAAGGACAAAACAAAAAUCUGGAGGUGUUAUGAAUUUUUAGGUGGAAGACCGGACAUCGGUGAAAAACAAAUUGCCUUCAUUAUAAUUAAGAUUUAAGGACUGCUGGAAAUGAAACGGCGGUGGGAGAUUCUUUGAAAAAACGCCGAAAAGAAAAAGAAUUUAAGGAUCUCAUUUUAAUUGGGCGGACACUGUCUACGUCCAAUUUUGGGACAAAUUCUCUCGUUCCUUAUCCUUCAGACGACAAUAAGCAUUGCCAUCCUGACAGGUUUAACGCCUAAGGCCACAACCACUCAGGUGUUAACUAAUCCUCGGUGGUCGGAACAAAUCCCUUUUACCUGGCUGGUACCAUCUUUGACGGGGGUGCCAUUACCAGCCAGCCUCACAAAAGAAGGAAUAUCACAACAAAUUGACCACCCCGGCCGUGGCGACAAUGGUAUGUAACUUGUUCAAAUCGCGCGUGAGGACUGUCGUAAAAGUGGAUUAGAAGCUUCUCCAAAUUUUCCAACCACCUUUUCUUUCAAGAGAUUAAGAUUAAACGUCGAUUUUACCACCCAGACGUCGUCCAUCUUUUGUCACUAAACACUGGAAAAGAGAGUACCACCAACCUUUCUGAGCGAUUAGCUGUUUUUCUCAAAACCGCAGGUUAUUACUAGAUUAGGCUGUUCUACAGGCUAACUUAAGAAAAAGCUAUAGCAAAAUUAAUAGUUAAUAAAAAAAAGUUAAUAAUUAUA
Molecule: long non-coding RNA, 913 nt
Organism: Cimex lectularius (bed bug)
Lineage: Eukaryota; Metazoa; Arthropoda; Insecta; Hemiptera; Cimicidae
Exons: 2
Source: RefSeq, a predicted model, not a curated record